RNAcentral lists this transfer RNA (89 nucleotides) under Halomonas halmophila. Its description in RNAcentral is "tRNA-Leu". It matches the Rfam family "tRNA". From Rfam's summary of the family: Transfer RNA (tRNA) molecules are approximately 80 nucleotides in length. Lineage: Bacteria; Pseudomonadati; Pseudomonadota; Gammaproteobacteria; Oceanospirillales; Halomonadaceae. RNAcentral also lists the same sequence under 1 other name. The record is from RNAcentral.
GCCCGGAUGGCGAAAUUGGUAGACGCAAGGGACUUAAAAUCCCUCGGAGUUGACUCUCCGUGUCGGUUCGAGUCCGACUCCGGGCACCA